Toxocara canis (dog roundworm) is the source of this 71-nucleotide transfer RNA. It matches the Rfam family "tRNA". From Rfam's summary of the family: Transfer RNA (tRNA) molecules are approximately 80 nucleotides in length. Their secondary structure includes four short double-helical elements and three loops (D, anti-codon, and T loops). Further hydrogen bonds mediate the characteristic L-shaped molecular structure. tRNAs have two regions of fundamental functional importance: the anti-codon, which is responsible for specific mRNA codon recognition, and the 3' end, to which the tRNAs corresponding amino acid is attached (by aminoacyl-tRNA synthetases). tRNAs cope with the degeneracy of the genetic code in two manners: having more than one tRNA (with a specific anti-codon) for a particular amino acid; and 'wobble' base-pairing, i.e. permitting non-standard base-pairing at the 3rd anti-codon position. The record is from Rfam. Lineage: Eukaryota; Metazoa; Nematoda; Chromadorea; Rhabditida; Toxocaridae.
GCGGCAGUAGCUCGGUGUAGAGCCCCCGUUUCGGAUGCGGGAAAGCCUGGGUUCGAUCCUCGGCUGCUUCC